This 253-nucleotide ribosomal RNA is filed under the name uncultured bacterium. RNAcentral describes it as "partial 16S ribosomal RNA". It matches the Rfam family "Bacterial small subunit ribosomal RNA", at positions 524 to 776 of the family's 1533-position model. The record is from RNAcentral.
UACGGAGGGGACUAGCGUUGUUCGGAUUUACUGGGCGUAAAGAGCGCGUAGGCGGUCUAUUAAGUUGGAAGUGAAAGCCCGGGGCUUAACCUCGGAACUGCUUCCAAAACUGAUAGACUAGAGUACGGGAGGGGACAGUGGAAUUCCUAGUGUAGAGGUGAAAUUCUUAGAUAUUAGGAGGAACACCGGUGGCGAAGGCGACUGUCUGGAACGUAACUGACGCUGAGGCGCGAAAGCGUGGGGAGCAAACAGG